This 492-nucleotide ribosomal RNA is filed under the name uncultured bacterium. Its description in RNAcentral is "partial 16S ribosomal RNA". It matches the Rfam family "Bacterial small subunit ribosomal RNA", at positions 29 to 507 of the family's 1533-position model. The record is from RNAcentral.
AGUGAACGCUGGCGGUAGGCCUAACACAUGCAAGUCGAACGGCAGCACCGUAAGAGCUUGCUCUUACGGGAGGCGAGUGGCGGACGGGUGAGGAAUACAUCGGAAUAUACUUUUUCGCGGGGGCUAACGUAGGGAAACUUACGCUAAUAACGCAUACGACCUACGGGUGAAAGCAGGGGAUCUUCGGACCUUGCGCGAUUGAAUGAGCCGAUGUCGGAUUAGCUAGGUGGCGGGGUAAAGGGCAACCAAGGCGACGAUCCGAAGCUGGUACGAGCGGAAGAACAGGCAGCCUGGAACAGAGACACGGCACAGACUCCUGCGGGAGGAAGCAGUGGGGAAUAUUGGACAAGGGGCGCAAGCCUGAUCCAGCCAUACCGCGUGAGGGAAGAAGGACCCCUGGUUGUAAAACCCUGUUGUUCGGAAAGAAGAGCAGCAGUUUAACACCCCGCUGUCCUGACGGUACCCAAAGAAUAAGCACCGGCUAACUUCGUG